RNAcentral lists this unclassified non-coding RNA (346 nucleotides) under soil metagenome. RNAcentral's name for it is "partial contains 5.8S ribosomal RNA, internal transcribed spacer 2, and large subunit ribosomal RNA". The stretch from base 1 to 120 matches the Rfam family "5.8S ribosomal RNA", at positions 35 to 154 of the family's 154-position model. The record is from RNAcentral.
GAUGAAGAACGUAGCAAAAUGCGAUAAGUAAUGUGAAUUGCAGAAUUCAGUGAAUCAUCGAAUCUUUGAACGCACAUUGCGCCCGCCAGUAUUCUGGCGGGCAUGCCUGUUCGAGCGUCAUUUCAACCCUCAAGCCCUCGGGUUUGGUGUUGGGGAUCGGCGAGCCUUUCUGGCAAGCCGGCCCCGAAAUCUAGUGGCGGUCUCGCUGCAGCCUCCAUUGCGUAGUAGUAAAACCCUCGCAACUGGAACGCGGCGCGGCCAAGCCGUUAAACCCCCCACUUCUGAAUGUUGACCUCGGAUCAGGUAGGAAUACCCGCUGAACUUAAGCAUAUCAAUAAGCGGAGGA